This 468-nucleotide ribosomal RNA is filed under the name uncultured bacterium. RNAcentral describes it as "partial 16S ribosomal RNA". It matches the Rfam family "Bacterial small subunit ribosomal RNA", at positions 28 to 507 of the family's 1533-position model. The record is from RNAcentral.
GACGAACGCUGGCGGCGUGCUUAACACAUGCAAGUCGAACGGAAAGGCCCUGCUUUUGUGGGGUGCUCGAGUGGCGAACGGGUGAGUAACACGUGAGUAACCUGCCCUUGACUUUGGGAUAACUUCAGGAAACUGGGGCUAAUACCGGAUAGGAGCUCCUGCUGCAUGGUGGGGGUUGGAAAGUUUCGGCGGUUGGGGAUGGACUCGCGGUUUAUCAGCUUGUUGGUGGGGUAGUGGCUUACCAAGGCUUUGACGGGUAGCCGGCCUGAGAGGGUGACCGGCCACAUUGGGACUGAGAUACGGCCCAGACUCCUACGGGAGGCAGCAGUGGGGAAUAUUGCACAAUGGGCGGAAGCCUGAUGCAGCAACGCCGCGUGCGGGAUGACGGCCUUCGGGUUGUAAACCGCUUUCGCCUGGGACGAAGCGUGAGUGACGGUAAUGGGUAAAGAAGCACCGGCUAACUACGUG